CUGCAUGGCGUGUCGUCAGCUCGUGCCGUGAGGUGUUGGGUUAAGGUCCCGCAACGAGCGCAACCCUAUUUUUAGUUGCCAUCAGGUUAAGCUGGGCACUCUAAAGAGACUGCCGUCGAUAAGGCGGAGGAAGGUGGGGACGACGUCAAGUCAUCAUGGCCCUUAUGUCUAGGGCUACACACGUGCUACAAUGGGUUAUACAGAGGGCAGCUAGCUCGCGAGAGUCUGCGAAUCCCUUAAAGUAAUCCUCAGUUCGGAUUGUAGUCUGCAACUCGACUACAUGAAGUUGGAAUCGCUAGUAAUCGCAGGUCAGCAAAACUGCGGUGAAUACGUUCCCGGGCCUU
RNAcentral lists this ribosomal RNA (344 nucleotides) under uncultured Denitrovibrio sp. RNAcentral's name for it is "bacterial SSU rRNA". It matches the Rfam family "Bacterial small subunit ribosomal RNA", at positions 1041 to 1382 of the family's 1533-position model. The record is from RNAcentral. Lineage: Bacteria; Pseudomonadati; Deferribacterota; Deferribacteres; Deferribacterales; Geovibrionaceae.